UGAUAUUAAUAUUUUACGUGGUAGAAUAUUCGCAUAUGAUUUUGAUACAUCGUUAUUAUGAUAUUAGAUAUAUCAUAAUUGAGAUAAGUUUUUCCCACACGAAAAUAAAUAUAUUUCCGUGGGAUAUAUUCCUACACACUAAAUUAGUGAUGUAAAGUAGUCAAGCAUAUGUGUAUGUAUUUUUCUAUAUCUCAAUCUCUCUCACUCUCGACUCUCUCUCAAUCUCUCUCAAUCUCUCUCACUCUCGACUCUCUCUCAAUCUCUCUCAAUCUCUCUCACUCUCGACUCUCUCUCAAUCUCUCUCAAUCUCUCUCACUCUCGACUCUCUCUCAAUCUCUCUCAAUCUCUCUCACUCUCGACUCUCUCUCAAUCUCUCUCCCUCUCUCUCUUUCUCCCUCACUCUCUCUCACUCUCGGUCUCUCUCUCCCCUCACGCACCCCCUUCUCUCUCUCCCUCAUUACUUCAUUCUCCCCCAUAAAUGUUGCACACAUGCAACAUUAAACCCUAACCUAAGUAGCUAACCUAGUUAGCCCAACAAAAUCCCAAGGUUCAAGCUCUCACAUCUCUCUCUCAUAUCUCUAUCUCUCGGCUCUCACUCCUCUCUCCUCCCUCCUCCUCUCUUCUCCUUCUCUAUUCACUUCAUAGGAUGACAUACUCCACCAUUACUCCAUCUUUGACUACAAGAUAGUGUAUUAAAAGAAGAUCACACAAGCACAUGCAAGUCUUCUCCCCCCACCUUUACUCGAUCUCUCUCUCUCGGCCCUCCCUCUUCUCUCUUCUCUUCUUCUCUCUUCUCACUCCCUAUUCCCCUCACUUCAUGACAUCCUCACCAUCACUUCUUCAUUUACUAACAAGAUAUGCAUUAAUAGCAAGAUCACACCAUCACUUCUCAUAAAGGCAAGCAAGCUCUCUCUCCUUUUCUACCCCCUUCGGCAGCCCCCUCCCCUCUCACUCC
RNAcentral lists this long non-coding RNA (955 nucleotides) under Salvia miltiorrhiza (redroot sage). RNAcentral describes it as "long non-coding RNA (SMIL_LNC013630)". The record is from RNAcentral. Lineage: Eukaryota; Viridiplantae; Streptophyta; Magnoliopsida; Lamiales; Lamiaceae.